GACGAACGCUGGCGGCGUGCCUAAUACAUGCAAGUAGAACGCUGAAGGAGGAGCUUGCUUCUCUGGAUGAGUUGCGAACGGGUGAGUAACGCGUAGGUAACCUGCCUGGUAGCGGGGGAUAACUAUUGGAAACGAUAGCUAAUACCGCAUAAGAGUAGAUGUUGCAUGACAUUUGCUUAAAAGUUGCAAUUGCAUCACUACCAGAUGGACCUGCGUUGUAUUAGCUAGUUGGUGGGGUAACGGCUUACCAAGGCGACGAUACAUAGCCGACCUGAGAGGGUGAUCGGCCACACUGGGACUGAGACACGGCCCAGACUCCUACGGGAGGCAGCAGUAGGGAAUCUUCGGCAAUGGACGGAAGUCUGACCGAGCAAAGCCGCGUGAGUGAAGAAAGUUUUCGGGUCGUAAAGCUCUGUUGUAAGAGAAGAAAGAGUGUGAGAGUGGAAAGUUCACACUGUGACGGUAUCUUACCAGAAAGGGACGGCUAACUACGUG
RNAcentral lists this ribosomal RNA (495 nucleotides) under uncultured bacterium. RNAcentral's name for it is "partial 16S ribosomal RNA". It matches the Rfam family "Bacterial small subunit ribosomal RNA", at positions 28 to 507 of the family's 1533-position model. The record is from RNAcentral.